RNAcentral lists this ribosomal RNA (292 nucleotides) under uncultured bacterium. RNAcentral's name for it is "partial 16S ribosomal RNA". It matches the Rfam family "Bacterial small subunit ribosomal RNA", at positions 505 to 796 of the family's 1533-position model. The record is from RNAcentral.
GUGUCAGCCGCCGCGGUAAUACGUAGGGGGCGAGCGUUGUCCGGAAUCAUUGGGCGUAAAGCGCGUGUAGGCGGCGCGGUAAGUCUGGUGUGAAAUCUUGGGGCUCAACCCCAAGCGUGCAUCGGAUACUGCCGUGCUCGAGUCCGGGAGAGGGAAGCGGAAUUCCUAGUGUAGCGGUGAAAUGCGCAGAUAUUAGGAAGAACACCGGUGGCGAAGGCGGCUUCCUGGAACGGUACUGACGCUGAGACGCGAAAGCGUGGGGAGCGAACAGGAUUAGAAACCCCUGUAGUCC